GACGAACGCUGGCGGCGUGCCUAAUACAUGCAAGUCGAGCGGAACUGGGGGAGCUUGCUCCUUCCAGUUUAGCGGCGGACGGGUGAGUAACACGUGGGCAACCUGCCCUGCAGAUCGGGAUAACUCCGGGAAACCGGUGCUAAUACCGAAUAGUUUGGCGCCUCUCCUGAGGCGCUACGGAAAGACGGUUUCGGCUGUCACUGCAGGAUGGGCCCGCGGCGCAUUAGCUAGUUGGUGGGGUAACGGCCCACCAAGGCGACGAUGCGUAGCCGACCUGAGAGGGUGGCCGGCCAAACGGGGACUGAGACACGGCCCAGACUCCUACGGGAGGCAGCAGUAGGGAAUCUUCCGUAAUGGACGCAAGUCUGACGGAGCAACGCCGCGUGAGUGACGAAGGUUUUCGGAUCGUAAAACUCUGUUGUGAGGGAAGAACACGUACCUACUAACUAUUGGUACCUUGACGGUACCUCACCAGAAAGCCACGGCUAACUACGUGCCAGCCGCCGCGGUAA
This 512-nucleotide ribosomal RNA is filed under the name uncultured bacterium. Its description in RNAcentral is "partial 16S ribosomal RNA". It matches the Rfam family "Bacterial small subunit ribosomal RNA", at positions 28 to 523 of the family's 1533-position model. The record is from RNAcentral.